GAGUCGUUCAUAUAGUGGCAUUAUAUCUUUCUUGUAAAUUGACUACUCGGGUUCGAGUCCCAAAUCCAACU
Molecule: transfer RNA, 71 nt
Filed under: Clathrina clathrus
Lineage: Eukaryota; Metazoa; Porifera; Calcarea; Clathrinida; Clathrinidae
Description: tRNA-Thr
Source: RNAcentral